CUAAAAUGCACAGGUCGUGAGUUCGAUGAGUAGGGCGGGACACGUGACAUCCUGUCUGAAUAUGGGGGGACCAUCCUCCAAGGCUAAAUACUCCUGACUGACCGAUAGUGAACCAGUACCGUGAGGGAAAGGCGAAAAGAACCCCGGCGAGGGGAGUGAAAUAGAACCUGAAACCGUGUACGUACAAGCAGUGGGAGCACCUUCGUGGUGUGACUGCGUACCUUUUGUAUAAUGGGUCAGCGACUUAUAUUUUGUAGCAAGGUUAACCGUAUAGGGGAGCCGUAGGGAAACCGAGUCUUAACUGGGCGAAUAGUUGCAAGGUAUAGACCCGAAACCCGGUGAUCUAGCCAUGGGCAGGUUGAAGGUUGGGUAACACUAACUGGAGGACCGAACCGACUAAUGUUGAAAAAUUAGCGGAUGACUUGUGGCUGGGGGUGAAAGGCCAAUCAAACCGGGAGAUAGCUGGUUCUCCCCGAAAGCUAUUUAGGUAGCGCCUCGUGAACUCAUCUUCGGGGGUAGAGCACUGUUUCGGCUAGGGGGCCAUCCCGGCUUACCAAACCGAUGCAAACUCCGAAUACCGAAGAAUGUUAUCACGGGAGACACACGGCGGGUGCUAACGUCCGUCGUGAAGAGGGAAACAACCCAGACCGCCAGCUAAGGUCCCAAAGUCAUGGUUAAGUGGGAAACGAUGUGGGAAGGCAUAGACAGCCAGGAUGUUGGCUUAGAAGCAGCCAUCAUUUAAAGAAAGCGUAAUAGCUCACUGGUCGAGUCGGCCUGCGCGGAAGAUGUAACGGGGCUAAACCAUGCACCGAAGCUGCGGCAGCGACGUUUAGGCGUUGUUGGGUA
This 846-nucleotide ribosomal RNA is filed under the name Serratia marcescens. RNAcentral's name for it is "partial 23S ribosomal RNA". It matches the Rfam family "Bacterial large subunit ribosomal RNA", at positions 380 to 1230 of the family's 2925-position model. Lineage: Bacteria; Pseudomonadati; Pseudomonadota; Gammaproteobacteria; Enterobacterales; Yersiniaceae. The record is from RNAcentral.